CGGUGGAGCAUGUGGUUUAAUUCGAUGAUACGCCGAGGAACCUUACCUGGGCUCAAAUGUAUGUUGACGUAUUCUGAAAGGGAUACUUCUUCGGACAAUAUACAAGGUGCUGCAUGGUUGUCGUCAGCUCGUGCCGUGAGGUGUCGGGUUAAGUCCCAUAACGAGCGCAACCCCUAUCAUUAGUUGCCAUCAGGUCAAGCUGGGGACUCUAAUGAAACUGCCUACGCAAGUAGUGAGGAAGGUGGGGAUGACGUCAAAUCAGCACGGCCCUUACGUCCAGGGCUACACACGUGCUACAAUGGCCGGUACAAAGGGCAGCUACCUGGUGACAGGAUGCAAAUCUCCAAAGUCGGUCUCAGUUCGGAUCGGAGUCUGCAACCCGACUCCGUGAAGUUGGAUUCGCUAGUAAUCGCGCAUCAGCCAUGGCGCGGUGAAUGCGUUCCCGGGCCUU
This 451-nucleotide ribosomal RNA is filed under the name uncultured Sphingobacteriales bacterium. RNAcentral's name for it is "bacterial SSU rRNA". It matches the Rfam family "Bacterial small subunit ribosomal RNA", at positions 930 to 1382 of the family's 1533-position model. Lineage: Bacteria; Pseudomonadati; Bacteroidota; Sphingobacteriia; Sphingobacteriales. The record is from RNAcentral.